GGCAUCCUUAGAGGAAGGCAAUGUGAAGACACACACACAGGAAAGCACCAAGAGAACAGAUGAAAGGGCCUGUGUGUUAGUGAGAAACAGAUGCUCUCAGGUAAAGUUAUUGGAAAAACAGUCCAUUUAAAAGAAGGCAGAAGCAUAACCAGAAAUGGCACUUUAAAACACGACUGAAUUUGACAUAUUGCACAGUUAACUAAAGAGUCAGCCAUAUGGAAGUUCAUUCUGAUGAUAUGGCAUCAGUGAAAUGGUGAAAUGUGACCAUUUUAACUUGUUAGGCUAUUUAUGUUUUAUAGAGGCAUCAUGUCAGAACUACCUGUAAUUUAAAAAAAAAAACAUAAAUAAAUACCUGGGCCUAUCUUUGAGAUUCUGGCUUAAAAAUGUAUGAAGCCUGGAUAUAUGUAAUUUCAAACAAUUCUGCAAGUGAUUCUGGUGUGAAGUCAAGGCUGGAAAUAAUGAAAAUAACAGAAGUGACUGUUGCUAAUAAAAUAAGAUAUCUCUUUUGCCUAUGCAGAUAGCAUAAGUUUUGAUAUAUAAAAAGUGUUCUGGUUUUGUAAUGCAAUUUCUGUAACUAUACCACGUUUAAUUUUACUUGCUCUUGUUCAGCUGCUGAUAGGAGCCAGGUUUUCAAGUUAAUUUUUAACCUAGGCUAGUCAACUCUUCCACAGGCCAUGUUGAUUUGUGUCAUUUGUGUUAAAUGGUUAACUCAAAUGUUAACACUGGAAAUGCCAGUAAAGAACUGUGACAAGCUACCAUUAAUUUGAAUAGCUUUAGAUAAGUAGGUUUUCCUAAUUUUUGAGACCAACUGAAUAUUAUAUACCACUCAUUAAAACAUAUUCCUAUUAUAAA
This is a long non-coding RNA of Chinchilla lanigera (long-tailed chinchilla), 852 nucleotides long. RefSeq lists it as uncharacterized. The transcript is spliced from 3 exons. NCBI's taxonomy places the organism in Eukaryota, Metazoa, Chordata, Mammalia, Rodentia, Chinchillidae. The record is from RefSeq and is a predicted model, not a curated record.